UCUCUUUACAGAUGGGUGAGGACGGCAGGACAUCAUAUUUGAUGUGAAUCACUCUUGAAAGACAAUAUGCCUUUGAGAGGGAUUCUAGCUACAGCAGCACCAAUUACAUCUAAUCAAUUAAGUACUCAAGUGAAAGUCUUAUCAAGAUUGCCCAUGUUUUAACGUAUUGCAGUAUGUCAUUUAUAUUUUCCUUGCUGACCUCUUAAAUUGGAUUUGGUGCUGCUGUAGUUUCCUGUCGUUGGCGUUACGCAAAAUAUUCAGGCCAUGUAGGCUUUAAUAUAUUGCUCCUCCCCGUGGUCUCACCCGGGAAGAAAUUAUAUGCUUUUAACUGCCUUUUGACAGUUGAAUCACUUUCACUCAGAUCAAAAUUAAAGCUAUUUUUGUAUUCUACUGCCACCAUAGAUAGCAUAUGAUUUCUUGCUAAACGCCUAAAAUAGGGAUUUCCAGGUUUUCAUCUUCAUAAUCUUGUACAACUAUUGUUAAUUAUAGACAUUUAGAAUCUGUUAGCCCCAGGAAGGUGCCGCCAUGGGACCAUAUUUUAUUUGAGGCAAGGUUUCAUUUUGUUGGUACCUGCCCGGCUGUUUGAUUUUACAUAUUAAUCUUUGUUUUCUUUGCUUUCAAGAUAUCGUCAACCACCAAGGAGAUCUUCGGUGCAAAGUUUCAGUUGAAUUUGUGUUGGCGAGUUUCCUCAAGAUUUGUCAUUAAGCUCCGAGUACUGAUUUCACUGCAGGUGCCCUGUCAGAACCAGCUGUUUCCGGUUGCUUCAUGUGGCUAGUCAGCUUAAAGAAGCCUAACAAGAUGCAGCUUUACGACAUGUGCAAAGUUUCUGAAUGCUCUCAUAUCUGAACUGGUGAAGAGGAGAUAUAUUUUAUGAUUUACGCUGUGAUAUUUGACAGCAAGUAUCCUCUGCUGCUGUUUAUGGAUAAAUACUAUGCUAUUCUAUCUAGUUGAUUCUUUUUCUGUAAGCUUUGAAAAUAAACCAAUUACUAUGUA
This is a long non-coding RNA of Frankliniella occidentalis (western flower thrips), 993 nucleotides long. RefSeq lists it as uncharacterized. The record is from RefSeq and is a predicted model, not a curated record. The transcript is spliced from 2 exons. Lineage: Eukaryota; Metazoa; Arthropoda; Insecta; Thysanoptera; Thripidae.